AGGUGCCUCUGCAGAUAUAUGAUAGAAUUGAAAGGAUACAAAGAAGGUUAACAUGGUUCCCGUGCAAGAAUGACAUGCAUAAAUAUAAAAAAAUAAAAAAAAUAU
Small nuclear RNA from Prosopis cineraria, 105 nucleotides. The record is from RefSeq and is a predicted model, not a curated record. NCBI's taxonomy places the organism in Eukaryota, Viridiplantae, Streptophyta, Magnoliopsida, Fabales, Fabaceae.